CCUACGGGAGACAGCAGUGAGGAAUAUUGGUCAAUGGCCGGAAGGCUGAACCAGCCAUGCCGCGUGAAGGUCAGUGCCCUAUGGGCGUUAAACUUCUUUUGUGCGGGAGCAAUAAUGGUCACGUGUGGCCAGACGAGAGUACCGUACGAAUAAGCAUCGGCUAACCCCGUGCCAGAAGCCGCGGUAAUACGGGGGUUGCAAGCGUUAUCCGGAUUAAUUGGGUUUAAGGGGUGCGUAGGCGGUGGGGUAGUCAGCGGUGAAAUGCCCACGCUCAACGGGGGGAAGUGCCAUUGAUACUGCCUUGCUAGAGUGCGGGUGCCGUGGGAGGAAUGUGUGGUGUAGCGGUGAAAUGCAUAGAUAUCACACAGAACACCGAUUGCGAAGGCAUCUCACGAAUCCGCGAUUGACGCUGAUGCACGAAAGCGUGGGUAUCAAACAGGAUUAGAUACCCGAGUAGUC
This 459-nucleotide ribosomal RNA is filed under the name uncultured bacterium. Its description in RNAcentral is "partial 16S ribosomal RNA". It matches the Rfam family "Bacterial small subunit ribosomal RNA", at positions 338 to 795 of the family's 1533-position model. The record is from RNAcentral.